RNAcentral lists this unclassified non-coding RNA (217 nucleotides) under plant metagenome. RNAcentral describes it as "partial contains small subunit ribosomal RNA, internal transcribed spacer 1, and 5.8S ribosomal RNA". The stretch from base 169 to 217 matches the Rfam family "5.8S ribosomal RNA", at positions 1 to 49 of the family's 154-position model. The record is from RNAcentral.
UCUCCGUUGGUGAACCAGCGGAGGGAUCAUUACCGAGUGCAAACUCAUAACCCUUUGUGAACCUAUAUCUGUUGCUUCGGCGGCUCGCUCUCGGGCGAGCCCGCCGGUAAUAUCAGUAUCUCUGUUUGAACCCGACGAUACUUCUGAGUGUUCUUAGCGAACAGUUAAAACUUUUAACAACGGAUCUCUUGGCUCUAGCAUCGAUGAAGAACGCAAC